RNAcentral lists this ribosomal RNA (254 nucleotides) under uncultured bacterium. RNAcentral's name for it is "partial 16S ribosomal RNA". It matches the Rfam family "Bacterial small subunit ribosomal RNA", at positions 524 to 776 of the family's 1533-position model. The record is from RNAcentral.
UACGUAGGGUGCGAGCGUUUGUCCGGAAUUAUUGGGCGUAAAGGGCUCGUAGGCGGUUUGUCGCGUCGGGAGUGAAAUCCACUGGCUUAACUGGUGGCUUGCUUUCGAUACGGGCAGACUGGAGGUAUGCAGGGGAGAACGGAAUUCCUGGUGUAGCGGUGAAAUGCGCAGAUAUCAGGAGGAACACCGGUGGCGAAGGCGGCUCACUGGCUCGUAACUGACGCUCAUGCACGACAGCGUGGGGAUCAAACAGG